GGAUUAGGCAUGCAAGUCGAACGAGAACGGUUUCGCAAGAGACCAAGUAAAGUGGCGGAAGGGCGAGUAAUGCAUAGAUAACCUACCCCUGAAAUGGGAAUAACUAUUCGAAAGGAUAGCUAAUACCCAAUAAGACCACGGGUCGCAUGGCCUGUGCUUAAAGACGGGGACCCGCAAGGGCCUUUCGUUCAGGGAGGGGUUUAUGUCCUAUCAGCUAGUUGGUGAGGUAACGGCUCACCAAGGCUAUGACGGGUAGCCGACCUGAGAGGGUGACCGGCCGCACUGGGACUGAGACACUGCCCAGACUCCUACGGGAGGCUGCAGUCGAGGAUCUUCCGCAAUGCGCGAAAGCGUGACGGAGCGACGCCGCGUGGGUGAUGAAGGCCUUCGGGUUGUAAAGCCCUGUCAACUGGGAAGAAUGGCGGGAGGUGAAUAGCCAUCUCGUCUGACGCUACCAGUGAAGGAAGCACCGGCUAAAUACGUGCCAGCAGCCGCGGUAAUACGUAUGGUGCGAACGUUGUUCGGAAUCACUGGGCAUAAAGAGCACGUAGGCGGUUGAGCAAGUCCAUUGUGAAAUCCCCCGGCCUAACCGGGGAACUGCAGUGGAUACUACUUGACUUGAGUGCAGAAGGGGAGAGUGGAAUUCCUGGUGGAGCGGUGAAAUGCGUAGAUAUCAGGAGGAACGCCGGUGGCGAAAGCGACUCUCUGGUCUGCUACUGACGCUGAGGUGCGAAAGCUAGGGGAGCAAACGGAAUUAGAUACCCCGGUAGUCCUAGCCCUAAACGAUGGGCACUAAGUAGAGGGGUUUU
This 809-nucleotide ribosomal RNA is filed under the name uncultured Planctomycetota bacterium. RNAcentral describes it as "bacterial SSU rRNA". It matches the Rfam family "Bacterial small subunit ribosomal RNA", at positions 46 to 832 of the family's 1533-position model. Lineage: Bacteria; Pseudomonadati; Planctomycetota. The record is from RNAcentral.